This 4474-nucleotide long non-coding RNA is filed under the name Sus scrofa (pig). RNAcentral describes it as "lncRNA (ENSSSCG00025001002.1)". The record is from RNAcentral. Lineage: Eukaryota; Metazoa; Chordata; Mammalia; Artiodactyla; Suidae.
AAGUAUGAAUGAGAAUGUGGAGCAAAUGGUACACUUUCACACUGCCGAUAGAAAUGUUAAUAGGUACCAUCAUAGAAAAAGAAUUAUCCUUUAAAUGUGAACUUUCACAUGGGCACUGGGAGACCUGUUUAAGAAUGUUUAUAAUAACAAAAAUCAUCUCGCCACAGGAGUUCCCAGGUGGCUCAGUUGGUUAAGGAUCUGGUGUUGUCACUGCUGUGGCUCUGGUUACAGCUGUGGCUUGGCUUCAAUCCCUGGCCUGGGAACUUCUGCAUGCCACAGGUGUGGCCAAAAAAAAAAAACUCAAAGAAACACAAUUUUAAGAGAAAUAACCCAGUGUCCAUUGACUAUAUGAAUGAAUAAGUUAUGUAUAUUCAUGCAAUAUAAUAUUUAAAAACAGUGAAAAUGAAUGAACCACAAGUACACUCUGGUUUUCCUUCUUCUGUUACUGGCGCUGCUCCUAUCCCAGCUCAUCAUGCAGGUUAGAUCCAAGAUGGACAGUCAGUCCGCCCAGUAACAAUGUGGACUCUCAGCACAGACCUUUUCCCUUCCCCUUAAACUCAGCUUCUGAACUUAUUCUGUUUCUGGCUUCACACUCCUGGCACUCUAUCCCCAAAGUAGGCUCUGUGUGUGUGUGUGUGUGUGUGUGUGUGUGUGUGUGUGUGUGUGAAGAAAGAAGGAAUGGGUGCUGGGUAGGCAGCCAUUGUCCAGCAGUCCCUCCUUCCGUCCAUGCUACAGACUCCUUGAGGGAGGGACCAUGUCAUAAUUAUCUCUGCAUUCCCUGAGCACAGUGUCUGGCACACCUCAAGCAUUCAAGAAAUACUGAACAAAAGAUUAGCCUAAGUCAAAACUAACUGGUUGGACCGACUAAAAAAAAAAUCGGGUCAAGAGCCCUCUUGCCAGAACCAACACACUCACAGGGAAAGCUGGAAUCUCCAGAUAAGGAAAUGGGUGGAUGGAUGAAUUAGAAAGUAGAGGUAUUUUAAGGGUUUUUAUUUGACUAGCAAAAGAAAAGCUUUUUGGUCAAAGACACCACCCCACCCCCACCCCCCACCCGGAGUGGCUGGCAAAAUAGAGCACUGGUGUGUUUGAUGUGACUGUCCUGAAAUCUUCAGCAGUAACUCCACAAUGAGGUGGUAUUUUCCUGAUCUUAAAAGGAGCUCAGCAGACGCUUUCGUCCUCCAAUUGCCAGGGUGUGAAACAUGGCUUACCAUUCAACUGGAACAAUAUUUUUGGCAGCAGUGCCUUCAGUAGCCUUUCUCAGUUCAUCCUUAUUCAAGCAGCCAUUUACUGGAUAGCUGGCUGGCGUGACAGUACGUAGGCACCAGAUGCCCUGGACCUAGUCACUUGCUCCCUGUUUUCCCAAUUAGCCCGGUGUUAAUGUUUUGUAUCCCUCUGGUGCUGACUUAUUUACCACCCCUGUGUCUGAUGAGGUACGGAGAAACCCCAACGUUUCCUGACUUAUGGUUUAAAAAAAAAAUAACAAGUUCUAGGGAGUUUCCUUUGUAGUGCAGCAGGUUAAGGAUCUGGCAUUGUCACUGUAGCUGCUUGGGUAGCUGCUGCGUCACAAGUUUGAUCCCAGGCCCAGGUUCGGCAUUCUAGCCAAAAAAAAAAACAAAAUCAAAUUCUGGCCAGUGGAUUCAAACAUUCAGGACAGAAAUCAGCCUCAUCCCUGCCUCUACACUGGGGUCACCUUGUAUGGUUACGUACUUUCUGCCUUGCACAAAGGCCCUGCUCAGGGCUAGUCCAGACUGCAGUUGCUUGAUAAACCUGCAGUGGGGGUUGAAUCCUUUGCCUGGAGGAAAGGGCCCCUAGAGCUCAUAGCAGCACCAGCUGCUUGCCUGAGGGACACCUUCAUCUAGUUGGCAGAGGCCUCCCUUCCUAUCCUGUCCUGAAGAUGGACCCAGUGGCCCUGGACUGAUUUGUUUUUGUCUUUGUCAUUUUAAGGCUGCACCUGUGACAUGUGGAGAUUCCCAGGCUAGGGGUCGAAUCAGAGGUACAGCCGCCAGCCUACCCCACAGCCACAGCAACACAGGAUCCGAGCUGCGUCUGCCACCUUUACCACAGCUUACGGCAAUGCCAGAUCCUUAACCCACUGAGCAAGACCAGGAAUCGAACCCAAAUCCUUAUGGAUACUUACUAGUUGGGUUCAUUAACUGCUGAGCCAUGACAGGAACUCCAUGGACUGACUUUGUGAUUGCCUCCUGCCCUAGCCGUGGCUGGGAAUAAGACCAUGUACAAAAAGGUGUGAUCCAUGCCUAUCUUUCUGACCCAGUUUCUGGAAAUCUGUGUCUCCCUGUGCUGCCUGUAUGUGAGCAUCCCCUGGCCCAGAGAGCUCCCUGUUCUGUGAGACCAUGGCUGCCCAGCCUGCUUUCGGCCUAUCCUCUGACUCCUUGCCUGGCUGAUUCCUGCCUGGCUCACCAUAAACACUGAACUUCCCUUUGUGCCCAGGUCCCUGCCUGGUUGCUGACACCGUCCCUGGCUACUACUUGUCCUGGCUUUUAGUACUGGCUUUUCAAAACUUAGACUUAGCGCUGACCACAGCCUCUGAUCAGGACAAAAGGGACUAUUUUCCACGGGAUGAAGUGUUUUUAUCCAGCCAAAUAAGACAUUUUAGUAGCCAGGUUUUAUCCCCUGUGCCAUCCUACAACAUAAUCCUGUUUACAGAUGGCCUUCUCUUCCAGCACUUGUCCCAACCCAUUCUUCUAGUCUGAGGCCACCAAGUUCAUUUCGCUGUUAUCUCUCAUCCCAUGUAUCUCUAGAUUACAAAUGAUCUUUCUCAAUAUUAUUUUCAGCAGUGUGCUCAGACCCUCGAUUAUACCCUUCAUAGCUUGACCCAGCUCCUGAAGGCUUCCUAACCCUAUGCCUCCCCCAGGAGUCACCCCUUUACAUGCACAUUCUCACACACACAUGCAUACAGUGUCUGCUCUGGGGUAGGAUCCAGAGAUGAUUUGGUUGCUGAGGCCAUAUGCAGGGUGAGUCAAAAGCCCACCCUGAAGGUCCAUGUUGUUACUGAGAGAACUGGCUGUCCUGUCCUGGAGCUGAGCUGCUUGGCAUGUUGAAACAGGAGCAGCAGCACAGGCAAAUAGGACCAGAAAGAAAGCCAGGAUUGGGGAGGAAUAAAAGAUGAGGGGAAGUGGUCCUGUCAAACACCUGCGAAAAAAGAUCACACUUUGAAAAAUCUGCUUAGGAGCUGUCAUGCCCCCUGCUUCCUUGCUCUGCUCCAUCCCUAUUUCUGUCUAGAAACUUUUCCGAGAACAGCUCCCUUUCCCCCCAUAAUUUAUUCUACCCACCUACUCAUUGCGACACUUUUUGAUCUGAUUCCCAUGGUUCUGCUUCAGGUGCUUGCCUCAGUCACCUUGGUGACACACCCACUUAGUACUACCCCCUCCUCCCUUUUGCCUUCUCCCACAGGGGAUCCUGGCAUUCAGACUCCCCUGCACCCUGGCUUCAAGGAGUGUGAGCGCCUUCAGGGCUGAGAUCUCUUCCUUAUGAUCCUUUUCUACUCUCCACAGCACCUAAAGAGAUUCUGGGCACACAUCACACAAUCAGUCAAUGUUUGUUAAUUGAUGGACAGAUUCAUUAUAACACACUCUCUUUUUUUUUUUUUUUUUUUUUGUCUUCUCAGGGCUGGAGGUUCCCAGGCUAGGGGUCGAAUCAGCGCUGUAGCCACCUAUCUACGCCACAGCCACAGCAACGUGGGAUCCGAGCUGCAUCAACACCAGAUCCUUAACACACUGAGCGAGGCCAGGGAUCAAACCCGCAACCUCAUGGUUCCCAGUCGGAUUUGUUAACCACUGAGCCACAUCAGGAACUCCGAUAACACACUUUCCAUCACAUCUUAUAAAGUGGCAUUUUUCAAAGUGUGCUAUGAGGAUUCUUUGCACCAGAAUCUCAUUGGGUUAUUUUCUAAAAUGCAGAAUCUUGGAGUUGGUGGCCUAGUGGGUUAAGGAUCUAGUGUUGUCACUGCUGUGGCUUGAGUCACUUCUGUGGCACAGGUUCAAUCCCUGGCCCUGAAACUUCCACAUGCUGGGAGUGCAGCCAAAAAGUAAAAGCAGGAUCUUGGACCCUACCACAUACCGACUAAAUCAGAAUUUCUAGGAAUAACUCUGGUAUUUGCAUUGUAGUGGAUAAAAGAUGGCCACAAAUUCUUUGACUUUUCUCCCAUUAAGAGGUGGGGUCUGAAGAAACUCAUGGACUUGGAGAACAGACUUGUGGUUGCCAAGGGGGAGGGAGAGGGAGUGGGAUGGACUGGGAAUUUAGGUUUAAUAGAUGCAAACUGUUGCCUUUGGAAUGGAUAAGCAAUGAGAUCCUGCUUUAUAGCACUGGGAACUAUAUCUAGUCACUUGUGAUGGAGCAUGAUAAUGUGAGAAAAAGAAUAUAUAUAUAUAUAUGUAUGUGUGACUGGGUCACCUUGCUGUACAGUAGAAAAUUGACAGAACACUGUAAACCAGCUAUAAUGGAAAAAAUUAAAAUC